RNAcentral lists this ribosomal RNA (468 nucleotides) under uncultured bacterium. Its description in RNAcentral is "partial 16S ribosomal RNA". It matches the Rfam family "Bacterial small subunit ribosomal RNA", at positions 28 to 507 of the family's 1533-position model. The record is from RNAcentral.
GACGAACGCUGGCGGCGUGCUUAACACAUGCAAGUCGAACGGAAAGGCCCUGCUUUUGUGGGGUGCUCGGGUGGCGAACGGGUGAGUAACACGUGAGUAACCUGCCCUUGUCUUUGGGGUAACUUCAGGAAACUGGGGCUACUACCGGAUAGGAGCUCCUGCUGCAUGGUGGGGGUUGGAAAGUUUCGGCGGUUGGGGAUGGACUCGCGGCUUACCAGCUUGUUGGUGGGGUAGUUGCUGACCCAGGCUUUGACGGAUAGCCGGCCUGAGAGGGUGACCGGCCACAAUGGGACUGAGAGACGGCCCAGACGGCUACGGGAGGCAGCAGUGGGGAAUAUUGCACAAUGGGCGGAAGCCUGAGGCAGCAACGCCGGGUGCGGGAUGACGGCCUGCGGGUUGUAAACCGCUUUCGCCUGUGACGAAGCGUGAGUGACGGUAAUGGGUGAAGAAGCACCGGCUAACUACGUG